Molecule: ribosomal RNA, 253 nt
Filed under: uncultured bacterium
Lineage: Bacteria
Description: partial 16S ribosomal RNA
Rfam family: Bacterial small subunit ribosomal RNA
Source: RNAcentral
UACGUAGGGGGCAAGCGUUGUCCGGAAUCAUUGGGCGUAAAGCGCGUGUAGGCGGCUCGGUAAGUCUGCUGUGAAAGUCCAGGGCUCAACCCUGGGAUGCCGGUGGAUACUGUCGAGCUCGAGUCCGGAAGAGGCGAGUGGAAUUCCUGGUGUAGCGGUGAAAUGCGCAGAUAUCAGGAGGAACACCAAUGGCGAAGGCAGCUCGCUGGGACGUUACUGACGCUGAGACGCGAAAGCGUGGGGAGCAAACAGG